This 610-nucleotide ribosomal RNA is filed under the name Bacillus pumilus. Its description in RNAcentral is "bacterial SSU rRNA". It matches the Rfam family "Bacterial small subunit ribosomal RNA", at positions 143 to 738 of the family's 1533-position model. The record is from RNAcentral. Lineage: Bacteria; Bacillati; Bacillota; Bacilli; Caryophanales; Bacillaceae.
AUAACUCCGGGAAACCGGAGCUAAUACCGGAUAGUUCCUUGAACCGCAUGGUUCAAGGAUGAAAGACGGUUUCGGCUGUCACUUACAGAUGGACCCGCGGCGCAUUAGCUAGUUGGUGGGGUAAUGGCUCACCAAGGCGACGAUGCGUAGCCGACCUGAGAGGGUGAUCGGCCACACUGGGACUGAGACACGGCCCAGACUCCUACGGGAGGCAGCAGUAGGGAAUCUUCCGCAAUGGACGAAAGUCUGACGGAGCAACGCCGCGUGAGUGAUGAAGGUUUUCGGAUCGUAAAGCUCUGUUGUUAGGGAAGAACAAGUGCGAGAGUAACUGCUCGCACCUUGACGGUACCUAACCAGAAAGCCACGGCUAACUACGUGCCAGCAGCCGCGGUAAUACGUAGGUGGCAAGCGUUGUCCGGAAUUAUUGGGCGUAAAGGGCUCGCAGGCGGUUUCUUAAGUCUGAUGUGAAAGCCCCCCGGCUCAACCGGGGAGGGUCAUUGGAAACUGGGAAACUUGAGUGCAGAAGAGGAGAGUGGAAUUCCACGUGUAGCGGUGAAAUGCGUAGAGAUGUGGAGGAACACCAGUGGCGAAGGCGACUCUCUGGUCUGUA